RNAcentral lists this ribosomal RNA (253 nucleotides) under uncultured bacterium. Its description in RNAcentral is "partial 16S ribosomal RNA". It matches the Rfam family "Bacterial small subunit ribosomal RNA", at positions 524 to 776 of the family's 1533-position model. The record is from RNAcentral.
UACGUAGGGUGCGAGCGUUACUCGGAAUUACUGGGCGUAAAGCGUUCGCAGGCGGUUUUGUAAGCCAGAUGUGAAAUCCCCGGGCUUAACCUGGGAAUGGCAUUUGGGACUGCAAGGCUUGAGUGCGGCAGAGGAGACUGGAAUUCCUGGUGUAGCAGUGAAAUGCGUAGAUAUCAGGAGGAACACCGAUGGCGAAGGCAGGUCUCUGGGCUGACACUGACGCUCAUGCACGAAAGCGUGGGGAGCAAACAGG